CGCGUAGGCGGCCCGAUAAGUCCGCUCUGAAAGUCAAAGGCUCAACCUUUGAAAGCGGGUGGAUACUGUCGGGCUAGAGUCCGGAAGAGGCGAGUGGAAUUCCUGGUGUAGCGGUGGAAUGCGCAGAUAUCAGGAGGAACACCAACGGCGAAGGCAGCUCGCUGGGACGGUACUGACGCUGAGGCGCGAAAGCGUGGGGAGCGAACA
This 207-nucleotide ribosomal RNA is filed under the name uncultured bacterium. RNAcentral describes it as "partial 16S ribosomal RNA". It matches the Rfam family "Bacterial small subunit ribosomal RNA", at positions 568 to 774 of the family's 1533-position model. The record is from RNAcentral.